AAGACCUUGCACUUUUGGAGCGGCCGAUGUCUGAUUAGCUAGUUGGUGGGGUAAUGGCCUACCAAAGCUUCGAUCAGUAGCUGGUCUGAGAGGACGGCCAGCCACACUGGGACUGAGACACGGCCCAGACUCCUACGGGAGGCAGCAGUGGGGAAUUUUGGACAAUGGGCGCAAGCCUGAUCCAGCCAUGCCGCGUGAGUGAAGAAGGCCUUCGGGUUGUAAAGCUCUUUCAGCCGGGAAGAAAAGGUUGCGAUUAAUAAUCGUAAUUUACGACGGUACCGGAAGAAGAAGCACCGGCUAACUACGUGCCAGCAGCCGCGGUAAUACGUAGGGUGCGAGCGUUAAUCGGAAUUACUGGGCGUAAAGGGUGCGCAGGCGGUUUUGUAAGUCAGAUGUGAAAUCCCCGGGCUUAACCUGGGAACU
Molecule: ribosomal RNA, 423 nt
Filed under: uncultured bacterium
Lineage: Bacteria
Description: bacterial SSU rRNA
Rfam family: Bacterial small subunit ribosomal RNA
Source: RNAcentral